RNAcentral lists this ribosomal RNA (253 nucleotides) under uncultured bacterium. RNAcentral's name for it is "partial 16S ribosomal RNA". It matches the Rfam family "Bacterial small subunit ribosomal RNA", at positions 524 to 776 of the family's 1533-position model. The record is from RNAcentral.
UACGUAGGUGGCAAGCGUUGUCCGGAAUUAUUGGGCGUAAAGCGCGCGCAGGCGGUCCUUUAAGUCUGAUGUGAAAGCCCACGGCUCAACCGUGGAGGGUCAUUGGAAACUGGGGGACUUGAGUACAGAAGAGAAGAGUGGAAUUCCACGUGUAGCGGUGAAAUGCGUAGAGAUGUGGAGGAACACCAGUGGCGAAGGCGACUCUUUGGUCUGUAACUGACGCUGAGGCGCGAGAGCGUGGGGAGCAAACAGG